RNAcentral lists this ribosomal RNA (468 nucleotides) under uncultured bacterium. RNAcentral's name for it is "partial 16S ribosomal RNA". It matches the Rfam family "Bacterial small subunit ribosomal RNA", at positions 28 to 507 of the family's 1533-position model. The record is from RNAcentral.
GACGAACGCUGGCGGCGUGCUUAACACAUGCAAGUCGAACGGAAAGGCCCUGCUUUUGUGGGGUGCUCGAGUGGCGAACGGGUGAGUAACACGUGAGUAACCUGCCCUUGACUUUGGGAUAACUUCAGGAAACUGGGGCUAAUACCGGAUAGGAGCUCCUGCUGCAUGGUGGGGGUUGGAAAGUUUCGGCGGUUGGGGAUGGACUCGCGGCUUAUCAGCUUGUUGGUGGGGUAGUGGCUUACCAAGGCUUUGACGGGUAGCCGGCCUGAGAGGGUGACCGGCCACAUAGGGACUGAGAGACGGCCCAGACUCCUACGGGAGGCAGAAGUGGGGAAUAUUGCACAAUGGGCGGAAGCCUGAUGCAGAAACGCCGCGUGCGGGAUGACGGCCUUCGGGUUGUAAACCGCGUUCGCCUGUGACGAAGCGUGAGUGACGGUAAUGGGUAAAGAAGCACCGGCUAACUACGUG